GACGAACGCUGGCGGCGUGCUUAACACAUGCCAGUCGAACGGAAAGGCCCUGCUUUUGUGGGGUGCUCGAGUGGCGAACGGGUGAGUAACACGUGAGUAACCUGCCCUUGACUUUGGGAUAACUUCAGGAAACUGGGGCUAAUACCGGAUAGGAGCUCCCGCUGCAUGGUGGGGGUUGGAAAGUUUCGGCGGUUGGGGAUGGACUCGCGGCUUAUCAGCUUGUUGGUGGGGUAGUGGCUUACCAAGGCUUUGACGGGUAGCCGGCCUGAGAGGGUGACCGGCCACAUUGGGACUGAGAUACGGCCCAGACUCCUACGGGAGGCAGCAGUGGGGAGUAUUGCACAAUGGGCGGAAGCCUGAUGCAGCAACGCCGCGUGCGGGAUGACGGCCUUCGGGUUGUAAACCGCUUUCGCCUGUGACGAAGCGUGAGUGACGGUAAUGAGUAAAGAAGCACCGGCUAACUACGUG
RNAcentral lists this ribosomal RNA (468 nucleotides) under uncultured bacterium. RNAcentral describes it as "partial 16S ribosomal RNA". It matches the Rfam family "Bacterial small subunit ribosomal RNA", at positions 28 to 507 of the family's 1533-position model. The record is from RNAcentral.